CAACUAACAAGAGCUGCUAACUCUUGAAUCNGGGACUAACACCUCAGCCCCCUUA
Molecule: transfer RNA, 55 nt
Filed under: Aegotheles insignis
Lineage: Eukaryota; Metazoa; Chordata; Aves; Caprimulgiformes; Aegothelidae
Description: Euaegotheles insignis tRNA-Ser
Source: RNAcentral